GGUAGCCAACAUCUCAGUCCAAAUGGUAGCUGCAGAAGAUAAGCUGGCAAAGAGGAUUCUGGCAAGGAAAAAACAUGGCAAAUUGAAAUUGAAGAAAAAAGAUAACUUGCUGUGGAAUUUUCAAAACAAAAUAAUUCUCUUUACCCUCAUUCUAUUCAUUUUAGGAGUUGUAACCUGGACAUUACUGUGGCUGUUCAUCGUUCAGGCAGAAAACAAAGACGCCCUGUAUUUUGUUGGACUGUUCCGUGUUGCCAACAUAGAAUUUCUCCCAGAAUACAGGCAGAAAGAGUCAAAAGAAUUCCUUUCUGUGGCAAAGAACGUGCAGCAUGUGAUGAACUUGGUCUACACAACCUCUUCUUUCUCCAAAUUUUAUAAGCAGACCACAGUUUCAGAAGUCAGUAACAACAACAAUGGAGGCCUUCUUGUUCAUUUCUGGAUCGUGUUUGUGGUACCACAGGCAAAAGGCCAAGUGCUGUGUGAGGAUUGUGUGGCUGCCAUUUUAAAGGAUUCCAUUCAGACAAGUAUCAUUAACCGGACUUCGGUGGGAAGUCUUCAGGGCCUUGCGGUCGACAUGGACUCUAUUGUAUUAAGUGCAGGUCAUCGGUCAGAUUAUUGGUCAUCAACGGGAACAGGAACAAGUUGUAUGUAUGAUAUGUAUGCUGAUCGUUUACAUGAGCGCUUCCCUCUGGAUAUCCACACUACCUCAGGGUCGACGAUCUGCUAUUUUAAACUGACUGCAUCAGUGGGCCAUCUUAUUCGUCUUUCGAUAGUAUCUCUUCACAUUGAAGCAGAUAACUGCAUCACUGACUCUCUAACCAUUUAUGACUCUCUCAUGCCAAUCACACAUAAGAUACUGUACCGAGCUUGUGAACCAGCUGAUUCACUGGUGUCACUUGUGUCCACAAAUAAUCUCAUGCUGGUAAUGUUUAAGGCAGCACAAAUAAAGGAACGGAAGGAAUUCCAUGGCUAUCUUGAGGUCAUUACACAGGAAAGGUGUGGAAAAGCAAUAGUGACAAAAGAGAAAAUUGGCUAUGAAGGGAGAAUCACAAGUCCCUAUUACCCAAGCUAUUAUCCUCCAAAAUGUUUUUGUGCAUGGAACUUCCAGACUCCACAGAAGAGCCUUGGUAUAGCUCUGAAGUUUCAUAACUAUACCAUCAGUGAGAAGAAUAUUAAAGGCUGUGAACGAGGAUGGUGGAAAAUUAAUGAACACAUGUACUGCGGUUACUAUGUUGAUCACCAAACAGUCUUCCACAUUGCAAGUUCUGCUGUCAGCAUUGAGCUUCAGUGCAGUUCGAAGGUCUCGGAGAAGCCACUUCUGGUGGAGUAUGGCAGCUACAACAUCAGCCAGCCAUGUCCAGCUGGACAUUUCAAGUGUUCUACUGGCUUAUGCAUCCAGCAGAUGCAGCGCUGUGAUGGGAUAAACAACUGCUUCGAUGAAAGCGAUGAACUCUUUUGUGUUGCCCCUGAUUGGAACUGUAACUCCAGCUUCUCAAUACAAGAUAGCCUGCUUGGCUGCAAUGGAGUAAGUGAUUGUGAGAAUGGAAAAGAUGAGCAGAACUGCACCCACAGUAUUCCUUGCACCAGCCACACAUUUCAGUGCAGGAACAACAUCUGCAUUAGGAAGCAAAAUGCAAAGUGUGAUGGGACUGUGGACUGUGUUGAUGGAAGUGAUGAAAGCAGCUGCAGUUGUGGCAGCAGCAAGAGCAGCAAUGCUAUCUCUCGGAUUGUAGGUGGUACGAGCACUGAGGAAGGUGAAUGGCCUUGGCAGGUCAGCCUGCACUUUGUGGGAGCUGCUUACUGUGGGGCAUCAGUGAUAUCAAAAGAGUGGCUUGUGUCUGCAGCACACUGCUUUCAAGGGAGCAAGCUGGCUGACCCCAGAGCCUGGAGCGCUCACCUGGGCAUGCAAAUGCAAGGCCAUGCAAAGUUUGUAUCUGCGGUGAGACGAAUCAUAGUCCAUGAAUACUACAACAGCAGGAACUAUGACUAUGACAUUGCGCUGCUGCAGCUGAGCAAGCCAUGGCCGGACACCAUGAGCCAUGUCAUCCAGCCCAUCUGUGUGCCUCCCUUUUCACACAAAGUCCGCAGUGGUGACAAGUGCUGGAUAACAGGUUGGGGCCAAAAGCAGGAAGCAGGUUUGUUUCUUUGUAGCUUCAGUUCCCAGAUGAUGAAGGUUCAGCAGUUCUUCAGAAAGCAGAGGUAGAAAUUAUUGAUCAAACACUAUGUCAUUCCACAUAUGGGAUUAUCACAGCUAGGAUGUUUUGUGCUGGACUAAUGUCUGGGAAAAGAGAUGGGUGCAAAGGUGAUUCUGGUGGACCAUUGUCAUGUCAAAGCAAUAGAGAUGGAAAAUGGUUUUUGACUGGCAUUGUUAGCUGGGGUUACGGAUGUGGAAGACCAAAUUUCCCAGGUGUCUACACGAGAGUGUCAAAUUUUGCACCAUGGAUUCACAAAUAUGUGCCUUCAGUAUUGUAACUUGAAAACUGUUUUCCUGGAAUAAAACAUGUCUUGGAUAUCUUCAUUAAAAAUCAAAUUUGGUAAUAUUGUUCACUGGUGGAAUUUCUUUGCACUUCUCCCUGGUGAUUCUGGAGUACCUACAUGGAAGUAAAAAGUACCCUUUGUUCAAACUUUGAUGAAAGAGGAAGAGUCUGUUCUUCAUGGUGGUUGUUCUAUGUACAUGUCUGGAGAUGGAGGAGGAGGUGCAAUAAUAAACUUCUGUCACUUUGUGUUCAUUUUACGGGUACCACCUGAGUGCAUGUGCCAUCAUCUGUCAGGAAGAUGAAGAUAGAAUUGACCACCUAGAGACAGAGCUUAAAUCUUGCUCAGUCAUUUCCUCUGAGUUGUGCGUGGCCCAAUAAAGUAGUAACUGUGAAGUAGCAAUCAACUGUUAGUACCCUUGCAAAUACUACUUUCCUUACCUCUUCCACCAAGAAAAGUUGACAAGAGAGGGAGGGAUUGCAGAAA
This is an RNA transcript of Strigops habroptila (Kakapo), 2958 nucleotides long. It is a transcript of the gene named transmembrane serine protease 7, with no coding region annotated. NCBI's taxonomy places the organism in Eukaryota, Metazoa, Chordata, Aves, Psittaciformes, Psittacidae. The transcript is spliced from 17 exons. The record is from RefSeq and is a predicted model, not a curated record.